AUGUCUUGGGCUGUCGGUGAUGGCCGGACUUGCCGAUUCUGGACAGAUUCUUGGAUCGAUGGCCAGACCAUCUCUGAUAUCUCCCCAUCUCUUCUUCCCAUCGUGCCUCAUCGACGGCGCAAGCGCACGGUGGCGAAGGGGCUCCACGACCAUAGUUGGGUUGCCGACCUUGAUGGCGCCCUAAUGUCAGGUGCGAUGCUCGAGUACGUGCAGAUCUGGAGGCAACUCCGACAUCUCACCCUAUCUAGCUCCCUCGAUGGCCUCAUAUGGCGUUGGACCGCGGACGCCAAGUAUUCCGCCAAGUCAUGCUACCGGGCUUAUGCACUGGUUCUACAACAACCCCCUUCUGGUGCCUGA
RNAcentral lists this ribosomal RNA (357 nucleotides) under Triticum aestivum (bread wheat). RNAcentral's name for it is "partial small subunit ribosomal RNA". Lineage: Eukaryota; Viridiplantae; Streptophyta; Magnoliopsida; Poales; Poaceae. The record is from RNAcentral.